UCGGGAAUAUUGCGCAAUGGAGGAAACUCUGACGCAGUGACGCCGCGUAUAGGAAGAAGGUUUUCGGAUUGUAAACUAUUGUCGUUAGGGAAGAUACAAGACAGUACCUAAGGAGGAAGCUCCGGCUAACUACGUGCCAGCAGCCGCGGUAAUACGUAGGGAGCAAGCGUUAUCCGGAUUUAUUGGGUGUAAAGGGUGCGUAGACGGGACAACAAGUUAGUUGUGAAAUCCCUCGGCUCAGCUGAGGAACUGCAACUAAAACUAUUGUUCUUGAGUGUUGGAGAGGAAAGUGGAAUUCCUAGUGUAGCGGUGAAAUGCGUAGAUAUUAGGAGGAACACCGGUGGCGAAGGCGACUUUCUGGACAAUAACUGACGUUGAGGCACGAAAGUGUGGGGAGCAAACAGGAUUAGAUACC
This 415-nucleotide ribosomal RNA is filed under the name uncultured bacterium. RNAcentral describes it as "bacterial SSU rRNA". It matches the Rfam family "Bacterial small subunit ribosomal RNA", at positions 355 to 786 of the family's 1533-position model. The record is from RNAcentral.